This 105-nucleotide ribosomal RNA is filed under the name Octodon degus (degu). Lineage: Eukaryota; Metazoa; Chordata; Mammalia; Rodentia; Octodontidae. The record is from RNAcentral.
CAUACCACCCUGAACGCGCCCGAUCUCGUCUGAUCUCGGAAACUAAGCAGGGUCAGGCCUGGUUAGUACUUAGUACUUGGAUGGGAAACUAAAGAAAAAUUAAAA